This 263-nucleotide ribosomal RNA is filed under the name uncultured bacterium. Its description in RNAcentral is "partial 16S ribosomal RNA". It matches the Rfam family "Bacterial small subunit ribosomal RNA", at positions 30 to 293 of the family's 1533-position model. The record is from RNAcentral.
AUUGAACGCUGGCGGCAUGCCUUACACAUGCAAGUCGAACGGCAGCACGGGAGCAAUCCUGGUGGCGAGUGGCGAACGGGUGAGUAAUAUAUCGGAACGUGCCCAGUCGUGGGGAUAACGUAGCGAAAGCUACGCUAAUACCGCAUACGAUCUAUGGAUGAAAGCGGGGGAUCGCAAGACCUCGCGCGAUUGGAGCGGCCGAUAUCAGAUUAGGUAGUUGGUGAGGUAAAGGCUACACCAAGCCGACGAUCUGUAGCUGGUCU